UAUUUAUUAGAUAAAAAACCAACGCCCUUCGGGGCUCCUUGGUGAAUCAUAAUAACUUAACGAAUCGCAUGGCCUUGCGCCGGCGAUGGUUCAUUCAAAUUUCUGCCCUAUCAACUUUCGAUGGUAGGAUAGUGGCCUACCAUGGUGGCAACGGGUAACGGGGAAUUAGGGUUCGAUUCCGGAGAGGGAGCCUGAGAAACGGCUACCACAUCCAAGGAAGGCAGCAGGCGCGCAAAUUACCCAAUCCCGAUACGGGGAGGUAGUGACAAUAAAUACUGAUACGGGGCUCUUUUGGGUCUCGUAAUUGGAAUGAGAACAAUUUAAAUCCCUUAACGAGGAACAAUUGGAGGGCAAGUCUGGUGCCAGCAGCCGCGGUAAUUCCAGCUCCAAUAGCGUAUAUUAAAGUUGUUGCAGUUAAGAAGCUCGUAGUUGAACCUUGGGUCUGGCUGGCCGGUCCGCCUCACCGCGAGUACUGGUCCGGCUGGACCUUUCCUUCUGGGGAACCUCAUGGCCUUCACUGGCUGUGGGGGGAACCAGGACUUUUACUGUGAAAAAAUUAGAGUGCUCAAAGCAGGC
This 576-nucleotide ribosomal RNA is filed under the name uncultured eukaryote. Its description in RNAcentral is "SSU rRNA". It matches the Rfam family "Eukaryotic small subunit ribosomal RNA", at positions 203 to 785 of the family's 1831-position model. The record is from RNAcentral.